AUUGAACGCUGGCGGCAGGCCUAACACAUGCAAGUCGAGCGGAUGAAGGGAGCUUGCUCCUGGAUUCAGCGGCGGACGGGUGAGUAAUGCCUAGGAAUCUGCCUGGUAGUGGGGGAUAACGUCCGGAAACGGGCGCUAAUACCGCAUACGUCCUGAGGGAGAAAGUGGGGGAUCUUCGGACCUCACGCUAUCAGAUGAGCCUAGGUCGGAUUAGCUAGUUGGUGGGGUAAAGGCCUACCAAGGCGACGAUCCGUAACUGGUCUGAGAGGAUGAUCAGUCACGAAGGAACUGAAAAUGGGUGCAACGGUCGGCAAGAGCUGGCCUAGGGAGAUGUCGGACAAUGGGCAAAGGAGUGAUUCAGUCGUGGAGAGUGUAUAAGGGAGGUCUUCGGAUUGUGAAGCAGUUUAAGUUGGGCGAAAAGGAAGUAAGUUAUCACCUGGCAGGUUUGACAUUACCAAGAGAGUAAGCACAGGGUAACUGCGUG
RNAcentral lists this ribosomal RNA (484 nucleotides) under uncultured bacterium. Its description in RNAcentral is "partial 16S ribosomal RNA". It matches the Rfam family "Bacterial small subunit ribosomal RNA", at positions 30 to 507 of the family's 1533-position model. The record is from RNAcentral.